GUUCCUCCUCCUCCUUCUGGCCAAGAGCGGUUGUUCUUAGUUUAAUAUCUGAUCAAGGACGAUAUAUUAAGUUGGUUUUGGAACCGGGACCUGGAAUAGGAGCUUGCUCCGCCCCUCCGUGCAUCGACCUGGUGGUGCAGUACCUCUAGGGACAGUGCACCUUCC
Molecule: small nuclear RNA, 165 nt
Organism: Oryctolagus cuniculus (rabbit)
Lineage: Eukaryota; Metazoa; Chordata; Mammalia; Lagomorpha; Leporidae
Gene: U2
Rfam family: U2 spliceosomal RNA
About the family: U2 is a small nuclear RNA (snRNA) component of the spliceosome (involved in pre-mRNA splicing).
Source: Ensembl